RNAcentral lists this long non-coding RNA (822 nucleotides) under Pongo abelii (Sumatran orangutan). Its description in RNAcentral is "lincRNA". Lineage: Eukaryota; Metazoa; Chordata; Mammalia; Primates; Hominidae. The record is from RNAcentral.
UUUCAUCCAUGUCAACCAUGAAAGACAGGGUUGAUCUCAGCCUGAGGUAGAGAUGGAUCCCCAUCCAUGUACCUUUGCUCAACUGUCCUCAGACCAGAUCCAGAAUUCACCCUGCUGUUUCUCCAUGAAUCUGACCUGCAUCAACUGCCUCUCUUAUUCUGGGAUUCCAGUUGUGGAGCUCAAGGACAAGUCCGUUCUGGGCUGACUGUAUCCAACUUCUUUAGUCCAACUAUAUCCCCACUGGAAGCCAGGCUCUUGCCAGCAGCUUUCACCACAUGCCUCUUUCUAUGUUUGUUAUCUGUCUCUAGGUUCUGGUAACUACUUCCUUCCCUUGCCCCUUCUGGCCUAGGGUACCACAAAUCCCUCCUCCCAAUCCAACUGUCACUAGCCUCAGAGUACUUGUAGCUUCCUCACCUUACCUUCACCCUAAUAAAUAGUCCCCUACUAUCUCUCUUCAAAGCACCCAAUUUGAGUGUGCCAUCUGUUUCUUGCCAGGAUCCUGGUUGAUACAUCAACCAAGCUGCACAGAUGGAGGAGCACUGUGCUGAACUUUAGGAAUGAAGCCACAGGGCCCUCACUGCCCCCAUAGUCACUUUGGUCAUCUUCUGCUUCCCUGAAAGACUAAAUUCAGUUAGUUCAGGUACAUACAUAUCCGGACAUGUCAGGGAAAACUCCGUUUUGUAAGGAUCUCUGCUUAAAAUGCCAAAGGUUUGAAAGUUGGCAAACACUUGAGAAAAGCACAGUUCUCCAUCUUACUCUUCCUCUAAACUUGGAGAUAAAUGCAUUUUUAAAAUUUUGCAUAUUAGAAUGCUAAAGUGUACA